Molecule: long non-coding RNA, 429 nt
Filed under: Rattus norvegicus (Norway rat)
Lineage: Eukaryota; Metazoa; Chordata; Mammalia; Rodentia; Muridae
Description: long non-coding RNA NONRATT013376
Source: RNAcentral
GUCCCAGAGCUACCAGUAUGAGGUGUGUCUUACAGGAGAUUCUCAGAGUAAUGAGUUCAAAUUCUUGAAGCCUGUGUUUUCUAGUAUUGUAGACCAAAACUCUGGUAGGGAACUAGGAGAUAAUUCAUCCUCCCCAAGCAUUUUAGGCAUGUGAAACAACACAUUUCAUUCUUUGUAUACUUCUGUUGCUUUUGCAUUCUCGUUUUCUUUUCGAAUCUGGUAGUAAUGUUCACUUCUUUUGUUUUUCAUUUUCUCUACUAGUUUAUAUAGUAUUUUUGUUUGUUUAUUGGCUUUAUUACGUAUUUUUCCAAAUUUGUUGUUACUGAACAUUUUACAUCAGGACACUUCAUGUUCCUGAUUGAAUUUGCAGUAGUCUCUCCUAAAGAAUGUGUAUUUUCUGUAAUGAAUAAAAUUCUAAUUAUAAAAGUA